GACGAACGCUGGCGGCGUGCUUAACACAUGCAAGUCGAACGGUAUAAUUUGAUAGCUUGCUCUUGGAGAAUCUAGUGGCAAGCGGGUGAGUAACACGUAGACAACCUGCCGACGGGAUGGGUACAACAUUCCGAAAGGAAUGCUAAUACCGAAUGAAGCGGAGGAGAGGCGUCUCUCCUCCGUGAAAGAUGGCCUCUGAAUAUGCUAUCACCUGUCGAUGGGUCUGCGUCUGAUUAGCUAGUUGGUGAGGUAACGGCUUACCAAGGCGACGAGCAGUAGCCGGUGGCGGAGGAUGGACGGCCACAUGGGGACGUGAACGGGGCCCAGGCGCCUGCGGGAGGGAGCAGUGGGGAACGUGCCGCAAUGGGGGCAAGCCUUACGGAGUGAGGGCGAGUGAGUGAAGGAUAUGCUCCGAUCGUAAUGCUCGGUUUAGGGUGGCGAACGGGCUAAGGGUGAAUAAUCCUUUUUAAUGACGGUACCUGCAGAAGAAGCCACGGCUAACUACGUG
RNAcentral lists this ribosomal RNA (508 nucleotides) under uncultured bacterium. RNAcentral's name for it is "partial 16S ribosomal RNA". It matches the Rfam family "Bacterial small subunit ribosomal RNA", at positions 28 to 507 of the family's 1533-position model. The record is from RNAcentral.